Molecule: long non-coding RNA, 885 nt
Organism: Panicum virgatum (switchgrass)
Lineage: Eukaryota; Viridiplantae; Streptophyta; Magnoliopsida; Poales; Poaceae
Exons: 3
Source: RefSeq, a predicted model, not a curated record
UGGAAGCUAUUGCUGGAGAUGCUCUGAUACAAGCUGACUUUGCAAUAAAUUUGCUGAGCGUAAUCGAGCGCGACGCGGCUGUGCAGAAGAAGACGACGACUUGACCCAGCCCCUGUAUACCUUAACUUGGCCCUUAUCCCUCACCAGCUCGAUCGCGGGGAGGACGCCAUGGCACGGAGUCACGAGAUCCAAAAUUACCCACGGUACAAAGCAAACCUGUCCCACGCGUAACACGCGGUGCGUUGACGAUAUAAUGGUGUCUUAGCAUCUUCCUCCUCAGUUCACGACUCCGUUGGUCGAGAUUCAAGAACACCGCCUGUUUGUCUCGGAACCAGGUACCUCAGGUGGGACUCGAUCCGCUGUGCGCGAUUCUGCUUCCACUCCGGCCGGUGCGCUAGCCCCACCGCCACGGAGCUCCGGAAACAACGACCCUCAUGGCCUCGUCUGUCCCCGCACGUCUACAUGGCCUAGCAUCUCAUCAGGCGUGGUGCCUUGGCGUCACGACCCUGAAUGACAUAGUCAAUAACUUGAAUGUGAUGAAGCUAUUUGCGGCGUCACUACAUGUCAACUUGACAAUGAGUACAGUAUUUUUUGUGGCACCAAAAUAUAUCUUUCACAUAACGCCGAAGAUCACGACUGCGAAAAGUGAUGAUGAUCCAGGCGAUGACAUUUUUGGCCUUUUAUGUCUGCGAAAAGAUGAGAUCCCUUGGUGUAUGCUCUUUGCUGAUGAUGUAGUGCUAGUUAACGAGAGUAUGGCAGGGGUUAAUAGGAAGUUAGAGCUGUGGAGACGCAUGUUAGAGUCGAAAGGGUUCAGACUUAGUAGGACCAAAACCGAGUACAUGAUGUGCGAUUUCAGCGCGACUAGGCAUGAGGGGGGAGACGUUA